GGCCCGAUGGUUUAGUGGUAUAAUUCUCGCUUAGGGUCUGCGAGAGGUCCCGGGUUCAAUUUCCGGUUGGACCC
This 74-nucleotide transfer RNA is filed under the name Geotrichum candidum. Its description in RNAcentral is "transfer RNA-Pro (AGG)". It matches the Rfam family "tRNA". From Rfam's summary of the family: Transfer RNA (tRNA) molecules are approximately 80 nucleotides in length. Lineage: Eukaryota; Fungi; Ascomycota; Dipodascomycetes; Dipodascales; Dipodascaceae. The record is from RNAcentral.